CCCCCCCCCCCCCCCCUUCUCUAUAAUCAAAAUUCAUGAACAAAACUGGAUAUUUUCUCAAGCCAUUUUAUUUUGAAUAUGUCGAUGGAUAUGUACUAGAAACUCGACAUAUGAAAGCCCAUUUUGUGUCUUGUCUUCUACCAUGUGCGAGAGAAAUAACAUGCCUGAUGAAUCUCCCUUUUUGCAUAAUUUUAAGCGGAGAUAGUUACACCUUUGGCGUCUAAUAUCAUUAAUGAUGUCGUUGAGCUUCUUAGAGAGUGGAUUGUCAUACUGCUGCAGGACAAACUGAGCAGGAAUUUCCUCGACAGAUGAAAUGCCUAGCAGCUGACGGAUAACAUUAGGAUCUGCAGAGUUCCCAACAUAUAUCAAACAGUCCUCACCGUUCUCGAGAAGAUAGAUACCAUUGUCAGUAAUGUGUUCACUGGAAAGUGGAAUAGAAGGGGGAAUAAGAGAAUCAUCAUUCUCCUUAGUAUCAAAUUCAUGAAUUGCUAUCAAUCUAGGGUAGACCAGAGGGAUUGCCAAUGGAGUAGAGAGUGGGGAAACAUAAUUUAUCCAGAAGGACCUACUAUCGAUCUGUCCAUCUGCUCUAAGUCCAGUGCUUUUAACCAAAGCCAAUGUGUAAAGAGGAAGAAGUUUAAGUGCCUCAGGAAGGAUAAGUUGCCCUGAGGAUGACACUGUCGCACAGAAUUUACGGUAAGAGUGCAGAAUAUUGAUGCAAAGGUUUGUCACUUGUUCUCUUAUCCGUGAGAGAGGAGCAGUUGGUACUUCACUGGCAGCUUGCUUUAAGAUGCAAGCAAACUGGGUGUCCAAGUCAGCUGAUCGAAAUAGAUUACUCAACAUAGUUGUGCAAGGCAGAGCCAAAGUUGACACUCGGAUUCUUCUUUGGCCAUCAAUGGUAGUGUAAAGAACAGCAGACUGAAAAGAACAUUCUGAACCAUCCUGCAAUUUGUC
This 951-nucleotide unclassified non-coding RNA is filed under the name Hevea brasiliensis (rubber tree). Lineage: Eukaryota; Viridiplantae; Streptophyta; Magnoliopsida; Malpighiales; Euphorbiaceae. The record is from RNAcentral.